UUGCUGAGACUUUCUAACUGCCAAGACUUGGAUAAAUAAAGAAGGUGUUCUGAUUUUAUACUUCAGGAGAUGCCACUCUAUAAGGAAGAGACUGAAUCUUGGGCAGUCAUGAUCAAACGAACACCCUGUUUGCUGCUUAGCUGGGGAUGAAUGAGUCACUUUCCAGCUCUGCUCAGACGGACAAGAUCAAGAGAAUGGCUUCCUCGUUGGAGUUUUCUUCCCUAAAUCUGUGAAUUGUUUUCAGUAUUCUUGUAGCGCAGGCUGCUGUUUUGCUCCAACACAAUAUCGGUGAGUUUAAAUUAAGAAAGCUAUCAAUGAAAUUUUAAAGGCACAAUUUUUUAUCCUAAAUUUUAGUGUUUUGCAUUUCUGUGAAUCAAGGCUGAUUCUUUGACUUCAUGCCAAUGUAACUGUUGGUUUUACUCAAUCCAGGGUUUACCUGUCAGUAAUCAGUUUGGUGACAAUCAGCAAAGUAUCUGUUUUUACCCUACUGCCAUGCAUAUAUUCACCUUUCUGAUAUACUAAUAGCCCUGAUGCAUUUGUCUGAAAAACAUACAUGCAGAGAG
RNAcentral lists this long non-coding RNA (563 nucleotides) under Cyanistes caeruleus (blue tit). Its description in RNAcentral is "lncRNA (ENSCCEG00000012813.1)". Lineage: Eukaryota; Metazoa; Chordata; Aves; Passeriformes; Paridae. The record is from RNAcentral.